GUCUUGACNUCCUUUGACNNCUCGAGAGAUCGAGCUUUCCCUUCGGGGACAAAGUGACAGGUGGUGCAUGGUUGUCGUCAGCUCGUGUCGUGAGAUGUUGGGUUAAGUCCCGCAACGAGCGCAACCCUUAUUACUAGUUGCCAGCAUUCAGUUGGGCACUCUAGUGAGACUGCCGGUGACAAACCGGAGGAAGGUGGGGAUGACGUCAAAUCAUCAUGCCCCUUAUGACCUGGGCUACACACGUGCUACAAUGGAUGGUACAACGAGUCGCGAAGUCGUGAGGCCAAGCUAAUCUCUUAAAGCCAUUCUCAGUUCGGAUUGUAGGCUGCAACUCGCCUACAUGAAGCCGGAAUCGCUAGUAAUCGCGGAUCAGAACGCCGCGGUGAAUACGUUCCCGGGA
RNAcentral lists this ribosomal RNA (400 nucleotides) under Carnobacterium sp. AZTITEMP64. RNAcentral's name for it is "bacterial SSU rRNA". It matches the Rfam family "Bacterial small subunit ribosomal RNA", at positions 978 to 1378 of the family's 1533-position model. The record is from RNAcentral. Lineage: Bacteria; Bacillati; Bacillota; Bacilli; Lactobacillales; Carnobacteriaceae.